This 106-nucleotide non-coding RNA is filed under the name Garciella nitratireducens. RNAcentral describes it as "SAM-I sequence". It matches the Rfam family "SAM riboswitch aptamer (S box leader)". From Rfam's summary of the family: The SAM riboswitch is found upstream of a number of genes which code for proteins involved in methionine or cysteine biosynthesis in Gram-positive bacteria. The SAM riboswitch acts at the level of transcription termination control. Lineage: Bacteria; Bacillati; Bacillota; Clostridia; Eubacteriales; Eubacteriaceae. The record is from RNAcentral. RNAcentral also lists the same sequence under 1 other name.
UUCUUAUCCAGAGAGGUGGAGGGACUGGCCCUAUGAAACCCAGCAACAGCUAAGAAGAUUCUUAGAGAUGUGCUAAUUCCUGCAGCCAUAGGCUGAAAGAUAAGAA